Molecule: ribosomal RNA, 301 nt
Filed under: uncultured bacterium
Lineage: Bacteria
Description: partial 16S ribosomal RNA
Rfam family: Bacterial small subunit ribosomal RNA
Source: RNAcentral
CAGUAGCCGCGGGAAUACGAAGGGUGCAAGCGUUAAUCGGAAUUACUGGGCGUAAAGCGUGCGUAGGCGGUUUGUUAAGUCUGUUGUGAAAUCCCCGGGCUCAACCUGGGAAUGGCAAUGGAUACUGGCAAGCUAGAGUGUGUCAGAGGGGGGUGGAAUUCCGCGUGUAGCAGUGAAAUGCGUAGAUAUGCGGAGGAACACCGAUGGCGAAGGCAGCCCCCUGGGCCAACACUGACGCUCAUGCACGAAAGCGUGGGGAGCAAACAGGAUUAGAUACCCCCGUAGUCCCUGUCUCUUAUAU